This 383-nucleotide ribosomal RNA is filed under the name uncultured eukaryote. RNAcentral's name for it is "SSU rRNA". It matches the Rfam family "Eukaryotic small subunit ribosomal RNA", at positions 587 to 972 of the family's 1831-position model. The record is from RNAcentral.
AGCUCCACUAGCGUAUAUUAAACGUGUUGCAGUUAAAUAGCUCGUAAUUGAAUUUAUGGUGGGAGGGAUUGGUCCAGCACUCAGUGUUGGAACUUGUAUCCUCUCUGGCCAUCCUUGGGUGGAUCUUGUCUAUCAUUAAGUUGUCGGUCAGGGGAUGCCCAUUGUUUACUGUGACAAAGGAGAGUGUUCAAAGCAGGCUUAUAGCAUUGAAUAUAUUAGGAUGUGAUAAUAAGAUAGGGCCCUAGUGUUAUUUUGUUAGUUUGUGUACCAAGGUAAUGCUUAAUAGGGACAGUUGGGGGUAUUUGUAUUCCGUAUUCAGUGGUGAAAUACUUAGACCUACGGAAUACAAACUACUGCGAAAGCAUUUACCAAUGAUGUUUUCA